This 465-nucleotide ribosomal RNA is filed under the name uncultured bacterium. RNAcentral's name for it is "bacterial SSU rRNA". It matches the Rfam family "Bacterial small subunit ribosomal RNA", at positions 338 to 796 of the family's 1533-position model. The record is from RNAcentral.
CCUACGGGGGGCACCAGUGGGGAAUAUUGCACAAUGGGCGCAAGCCUGAUGCAGCCAUGCCGCGUGUAUGAAGAAGGCCUUCGGGUUGUAAAGUACUUUCAGCGAGGAGGAAGGUGUUGAGGUUAAUAACCUCAGCAAUUGACGUUACCCGCAGAAGAAGCACCGGCUAACUCCGUGCCAGCAGCCGCGGUAAUACGGAGGGUGCAAGCGUUAAUCGGAAUUACUGGGCGUAAAGCGCACGCAGGCGGUCUGUCAAGUCGGAUGUGAAAUCCCCGGGCUCAACCUGGGAACUGCAUUCGAAACUGGCAGGCUAGAGUCUUGUAGAGGGGGGUAGAAUUCCAGGUGUAGCGGUGAAAUGCGUAGAGAUCUGGAGGAAUACCGGUGGCGAAGGCGGCCCCUGGACAAAGACUGACGCUCAGGUGCGAAAGCGUGGGGAGCAAACAGGAUUAGAUACCCGAGUAGUCA